AACGAACGCUGGCGGCAUGCCUAACACAUGCAAGUCGAACGAAGGCUUCGGCCUUAGUGGCGCACGGGUGCGUAACGCGUGGGAAUCUGCCCUUUGGUUCGGAAUAACAGCUGGAAACGGCUGCUAAUACCGGAUGAUGACGAAAGUCCAAAGAUUUAUCGCCAGAGGAUGAGCCCGCGUUGGAUUAGGUAGUUGGUGGGGUAAAGGCCUACCAAGCCGACGAUCCAUAGCUGGUCUGAGAGGAUGAUCAGCCACACUGGGACUGGGACACGGCCCAGACUCCUACGGGAGGCAGCAGUGGGGAAUAUUGGACAGUGGGCGCAAGCCUGAUCCAGCAAUGCCGCGUGAGUGAUGAAGGCCCUAGGGUUGUAAAGCUCUUUUACCCGGGAAGAUAAUGACUGUACCGGGAGAAUAAGCCCCGGCUAACUCCGUG
This 433-nucleotide ribosomal RNA is filed under the name uncultured bacterium. RNAcentral's name for it is "partial 16S ribosomal RNA". It matches the Rfam family "Bacterial small subunit ribosomal RNA", at positions 29 to 507 of the family's 1533-position model. The record is from RNAcentral.